RNAcentral lists this ribosomal RNA (1408 nucleotides) under Microbacterium laevaniformans. RNAcentral describes it as "bacterial SSU rRNA". It matches the Rfam family "Bacterial small subunit ribosomal RNA". Lineage: Bacteria; Bacillati; Actinomycetota; Actinomycetes; Micrococcales; Microbacteriaceae. The record is from RNAcentral.
CUUACCAUGCAGUCGAACGGUGAAGCCCAGCUUGCUGGGUGGAUCAGUGGCGAACGGGUGAGUAACACGUGAGCAAUCUGCCCCUGACUCUGGGAUAAGCGCUGGAAACGGCGUCUAAUACUGGAUAUGAACCGUGGAGGCAUCUUCAACGGUUGGAAAGAUUUUUUGGUCAGGGAUGAGCUCGCGGCCUAUCAGCUUGUUGGUGAGGUAAUGGCUCACCAAGGCGUCGACGGGUAGCCGGCCUGAGAGGGUGACCGGCCACACUGGGACUGAGACACGGCCCAGACUCCUACGGGAGGCAGCAGUGGGGAAUAUUGCACAAUGGGCGCAAGCCUGAUGCAGCAACGCCGCGUGAGGGAUGACGGCCUUCGGGUUGUAAACCUCUUUUAGCAGGGAAGAAGCGAAAGUGACGGUACCUGCAGAAAAAGCGCCGGCUAACUACGUGCCAGCAGCCGCGGUAAUACGUAGGGCGCAAGCGUUAUCCGGAAUUAUUGGGCGUAAAGAGCUCGUAGGCGGUUUGUCGCGUCUGCUGUGAAAUCCCGAGGCUCAACCUCGGGUCUGCAGUGGGUACGGGCAGACUAGAGUGCGGUAGGGGAGAUUGGAAUUCCUGGUGUAGCGGUGGAAUGCGCAGAUAUCAGGAGGAACACCGAUGGCGAAGGCAGAUCUCUGGGCCGUAACUGACGCUGAGGAGCGAAAGGGUGGGGAGCAAACAGGCUUAGAUACCCUGGUAGUCCACCCCGUAAACGUUGGGAACUAGUUGUGGGGUCCAUUCCACGGAUUCCGUGACGCAGCUAACGCAUUAAGUUCCCCGCCUGGGGAGUACGGCCGCAAGGCUAAAACUCAAAGGAAUUGACGGGGACCCGCACAAGCGGCGGAGCAUGCGGAUUAAUUCGAUGCAACGCGAAGAACCUUACCAAGGCUUGACAUAUACGAGAACGCUGCAGAAAUGUAGAACUCUUUGGACACUCGUAAACAGGUGGUGCAUGGUUGUCGUCAGCUCGUGUCGUGAGAUGUUGGGUUAAGUCCCGCAACGAGCGCAACCCUCGUUCUAUGUUGCCAGCACGUAAUGGUGGGAACUCAUGGGAUACUGCCGGGGUCAACUCGGAGGAAGGUGGGGAUGACGUCAAAUCAUCAUGCCCCUUAUGUCUUGGGCUUCACGCAUGCUACAAUGGCCGGUACAAAGGGCUGCAAUACCGUAAGGUGGAGCGAAUCCCAAAAAGCCGGUCCCAGUUCGGAUUGAGGUCUGCAACUCGACCUCAUGAAGUCGGAGUCGCUAGUAAUCGCAGAUCAGCAACGCUGCGGUGAAUACGUUCCCGGGUCUUGUACACACCGCCCGUCAAGUCAUGAAAGUCGGUAACACCUGAAGCCGGUGGCCCAACCCUUGUGGAGGGAGCCGUCGAAGGUGAUC